GUUGGGUAGGGGAGCGUUCUGUAAGCCGUUGAAGGUGUCCUGUGAGGGGUGCUGGAGGUAUCAGAAGUGCGAAUGCUGACAUAAGUAACGAUAAAGCGGGUGAAAAGCCCGCUCGCCGGAAGACCAAGGGUUCCUGUCCAACGUUAAUCGGGGCAGGGUGAGUCGACCCCUAAGGCGAGGCCGAAAGGCGUAGUCGAUGGGAAACGGGUUAAUAUUCCCGUACUUGGUGUUACUGCGAAGGGGGGACGGAGAAGGCUAUGUUGGCCGGGCGACGGUUGUCCCGGUUUAAGCGUGUAGGUGUGUGUUCCAGGUAAAUCCGGUUCACUUUAACACUGAGGCGUGAUGACGAGGCACCACGGUGCUGAAGCAACAAAUGCCCUGCUUCCAGGAAAAGCCUCUAAGCAUCAGGUAACAUCAAAUCGUACCCCAAACCGACACAGGUGGUCAGGUAGAGAAUACCAAGGCGCUUGAGAGAACUCGGGUGAAGGAACUAGGCAAAAUGGUGCCGUAACUUCGGGAGAAGGCACGCUGACACGUAGGUGAAGUGAUUUACUCAUGGAGCUGAAGUCAGUCGAAGAUACCAGCUGGCUGCAACUGUUUAUUAAAAACACAGCACUGUGCAAACACGAAAGUGGACGUAUACGGUGUGACGCCUGCCCGGUGCCGGAAGGUUAAUUGAUGGGGUCAGCGCAAGCGAAGCUCCUGAUCGAAGCCCCGGUAAACGGCGGCCGUAACUAUAACGGUCCUAAGGUAGCGAAAUUCCUUGUCGGGUAAGUUCCGACCUGCACGAAUGGCGUAAUGAUGGCCAGGCUGUCUCCACCCGAGACUCAGUGAAAUUGAACUCGCUGUGAAGAUGCAGUGUACCCGCGGCAAGACGGAAAGACCCCGUGAACCUUUACUAUAGCUUGACACUGAACAUUGAGCCUUGAUGUGUAGGAUAGGUGGGAGGCUUUGAAGCGUGGACGCCAGUCUGCGUGGAGCCGACCUUGAAAUACCACCCUUUAAUGUUUGAUGUUCUAACGUGGACCCGUAAUCCGGGUUGCGGACAGUGUCUGGUGGGUAGUUUGACUGGGGCGGUCUCCUCCUAAAGAGUAACGGAGGAGCACGAAGGUUGGCUAAUCCUGGUCGGACAUCAGGAGGUUAGUGCAAUGGCAUAAGCCAGCUUGACUGCGAGCGUGACGGCGCGAGCAGGUGCGAAAGCAGGUCAUAGUGAUCCGGUGGUUCUGAAUGGAAGGGCCAUCGCUCAACGGAUAAAAGGUACUCCGGGGAUAACAGGCUGAUACCGCCCAAGAGUUCAUAUCGACGGCGGUGUUUGGCACCUCGAUGUCGGCUCAUCACAUCCUGGGGCUGAAGUAGGUCCCAAGGGUAUGGCUGUUCGCCAUUUAAAGUGGUACGCGAGCUGGGUUUAGAACGUCGUGAGACAGUUCGGUCCCUAUCUGCCGUGGGCGCUGGAAGACUGAGGGGGGCUGCUCCUAGUACGAGAGGACCGGAGUGGACGCAUCACUGGUGUUCGGGUUGUCAUGCCAAUGGCACUGCCCGGUAGCUAAAUGCGGAAAAGAUAAGUGCUGAAAGCAUCUAAGCACGAAACUUGCCCCGAGAUGAGUCUUCCCUGAGACCUUGAGUCUCCUGAAGGAACGUUAAAGACGAUGACGUUGAUAGGCCGGGUGUGUAAGCGCAGCGAUGCGUUGAGCUAACCGGUACUAAUGAACCGUGAGGCUUAACCUUACAACGCCGAAG
This 1737-nucleotide ribosomal RNA is filed under the name Salmonella enterica subsp. diarizonae serovar 61:k:1,5,(7). RNAcentral describes it as "partial 23S ribosomal RNA". It matches the Rfam family "Bacterial large subunit ribosomal RNA", at positions 1223 to 2925 of the family's 2925-position model. Lineage: Bacteria; Pseudomonadati; Pseudomonadota; Gammaproteobacteria; Enterobacterales; Enterobacteriaceae. The record is from RNAcentral.